This 373-nucleotide ribosomal RNA is filed under the name uncultured organism. RNAcentral's name for it is "partial 16S ribosomal RNA". It matches the Rfam family "Bacterial small subunit ribosomal RNA", at positions 527 to 896 of the family's 1533-position model. The record is from RNAcentral.
GAACCGUACGAACGUUAUUCGGAAUCACUGGGCUUAAAGGGUGCGUAGGCGGCUCGGCAAGUUGGGUGUGAAAUCCCUCGGCUCAACCGAGGAACUGCGCUCAAAACUGCCGAGCUAGAGGGAGACAGAGGUGAGCGGAACUUAGGGUGGAGCGGUGAAAUGCGUUGAUAUCCUAAGGAACACCAGUAGCGAAAGCGGCUCACUGGGUCUCUUCUGACGCUGAGGCACGAAAGCUGGGGGAGCGAACGGGGGAUUAGAUACCCCGGUAGUCCUAGCUGUAAACGAUGAGCACUGGGUCGGAGGAUCCUCCAUAGUUUUCCGGCCGUAGCGAAAGUGUUAAGUGCUCCGCCUGGGGAGUAUGGUCGCAAGGCUG